RNAcentral lists this ribosomal RNA (567 nucleotides) under uncultured bacterium. Its description in RNAcentral is "bacterial SSU rRNA". It matches the Rfam family "Bacterial small subunit ribosomal RNA", at positions 338 to 916 of the family's 1533-position model. The record is from RNAcentral.
CCUACGGGAGGCAGCAGUGGGGAAUAUUGGGCAAUGGAGGAAACUCUGACCCAGCGACGCCGCGUGCGGGAUGAAGACCUUCGGGUUGUAAACCGCUUUCAGUAGGGAAGAAGCGAAAGUGACGGUACCUACAGAAGAAGCACCGGCUAACUAUGUGCCAGCAGCCGCGGUAAUACAUAGGGUGCAAGCGUUGUCCGGAAUUAUUGGGCGUAAAGAGCUCGUAGGUGGUUCGUCACGUCGGAUGUGAAAAUCUGGGGCUCAACCCCAGACCUGCAUUCGAUACGGGCGAUCUAGAGUGUGGUAGGGGAGACUGGAAUUCCUGGUGUAGCGGUGGAAUGCGCAGAUAUCAGGAGGAACACCAAUGGCGAAGGCAGGUCUCUGGGCCAUUACUGACACUGAGGAGCGAAAGCGUGGGGAGCGAACAGGAUUAGAUACCCUGGUAGUCCACGCAGUAAACGGUGGGCACUAGUUGUGGGAACCUUCCACGGUUUCUGCGACGCAGCUAACGCAUUAAGUGCCCCGCCUGGGGAGUACGAUCGCAAGAUUAAAACUCAAAGGAAUUGACGG